UCUUCUUCUUCUUCUUCUUCUUGGUUAUUUUUCUAUUAUUUUCAGUUAUAUUGUUUCUCUCUCCUUUUCUGCUACUUUUUUCCUGGUAUUUUUGUGUGCUGAGAUGUUAACAAGACCCAGCACGUAAGGAGAGCUUUUUAAUGCUGGUUCAUCUGAUUUAGUUUGACAGUGAAAUUAAAGGCAAAAUGUCCUACUUUCCACUUUGGCAGGGUGCUAGCAGAUGGUCAUGUA
RNAcentral lists this unclassified non-coding RNA (231 nucleotides) under Hevea brasiliensis (rubber tree). Lineage: Eukaryota; Viridiplantae; Streptophyta; Magnoliopsida; Malpighiales; Euphorbiaceae. The record is from RNAcentral.